GGACUACUGGGGUUUCUAAUCCUGUUCGAUCCCCACACUUUCGUGCCUCAGCGUCAGUUGUUGGCCAGUACAAUGCCUUCGCUAUCGGUGUUCCUGAUGGUAUCUAUGCAUUUCACCGCUACACCAUCAAUUCCAUGUACCCCUCCAACACUCAAGCUAAACAGUAUCAACGGCACUGCUCCGGUUAAGCCGAAGUCUUUCACCGCUGACUUAUUCAGCCGCCUACGCACCCUUUAAACCCAAUAAAUCCGGACAACGCUUGCACCCUCCGUAUUACCGCGGCUGCUGGCACCC
This 294-nucleotide unclassified non-coding RNA is filed under the name uncultured fungus. RNAcentral's name for it is "sequence contains ITS1". The record is from RNAcentral. Lineage: Eukaryota; Fungi.